This 489-nucleotide ribosomal RNA is filed under the name uncultured bacterium. Its description in RNAcentral is "partial 16S ribosomal RNA". It matches the Rfam family "Bacterial small subunit ribosomal RNA", at positions 28 to 507 of the family's 1533-position model. The record is from RNAcentral.
GACGAACGCUGGCGGCGUGCUUAACACAUGCAAGUCGAACGGAAAGGCCCCCAUCUUGGUGGGGGUGCUCGAGUGGCGAACGGGUGAGUAACACGUGGGUGAUCUGCCCUGUACUUCGGGAUAAGCUUGGGAAACUGGGUCUAAUACCGGAUAGGACCAUGGUUUAGUGUCUCAUGGUGGAAAGAUUAUUGUUUUGGUGCAGGAUGAGCUCGCGGCCUAUCAGCUUGUUGGUGGGGUAAUGGCCUACCAAGGCGUCGACGGGUAGCCGGCCUGAGAGGGUGGACGGCCACAUUGGGACUGAGCUACGGCCCAGACGCCUACGGGAGGCAGCAGUGGGGAAUAUUGCACAAUGGGCGCAAGCCUGAUGCAGCGACGCCGCGUGGGGGAUGACGGCCUUCGGGUUGUAAACUCCUUUCGUUAGGGACGAAGCCGCACUUUUUUUGGGUGUGGUGACGGUACCUUUGUUAAGAAGCACCGGCUAACUACGUG